Molecule: ribosomal RNA, 253 nt
Filed under: uncultured bacterium
Lineage: Bacteria
Description: partial 16S ribosomal RNA
Rfam family: Bacterial small subunit ribosomal RNA
Source: RNAcentral
GACGAACCGUACGAACGUUAUUCGGAAUCACUGGGCUUAAAGGGUGCGUAGGCGGCGCAGAAAGUUGGGUGUGAAAUCCCUCGGCUUGACCGAGGAAUUGCGCCCAAAACUACUGUGCUCGAGGGAGGUAGAGGUGAGCGGAACUUAGGGUGGAGCGGUGAAAUGCGUUGAUAUCCUAAGGAACACCGGUGGCGAAAGCGGCUCACUGGACCUCUUCUGACGCUGAGGCACGAAAGCCAGGGGAGCAAACGGG